RNAcentral lists this ribosomal RNA (200 nucleotides) under uncultured bacterium. RNAcentral's name for it is "partial 16S ribosomal RNA". It matches the Rfam family "Bacterial small subunit ribosomal RNA", at positions 1301 to 1500 of the family's 1533-position model. The record is from RNAcentral.
CAGGCUGCAACUCGCCUGCAUGAAGUUGGAAUUGCUAGUAAUCGCGAAUCAGAAUGUCGCGGUGAAUACGUUCCCGGGCUUUGUACACACCGCCCGUCACACCAUGAGAGCCGAUAACACCCGAAGCCUGUGAGCUAACCGUAAGGGGGCAGCAGUCGAAGGUGGGGUUGGUGAUUGGGGUGAAGUCGUAACAAGGUAUC